UAUCAUGUAGCUGUCUUCUAUUUGAGGAGGGUGUCUCUACAAAUACUGAACUAGUUUUCAAACUGUCAUUCUCAAUUAUAUUAUUGAUAAUGGAACAAAUGUUAAUUUCAUUUAUCAGUUUUUGGAGGGCUUGAAGACAAAGAUUUUGCUAUUCUUUUAAACUUUCAUUAUGUUGAGUAUAAAGAAUUGCACAUAGUAAUUGGUCAAUAAAUGCAUGCUAAUUAAAAGAAAAAAAUACUAGAUCACUCUUACUUUAUAGAAGUGUUUUUGUGGACAGAAUGCCAUCAUCUUCACCACAAACGUGUGGAAUUGAGUUAUUGUAGUAUUUUGCUGAGGCUCUAAGUAAAUGAAAUAGUUUUGUACCUAAAUCCUUUCCUCGAGGUAAAAGAAAAGACAGCAGUAACAAGUCCUUACACAAUUUAUUUUACAGGACUCCAUUCUAAUCUUCCUUGGAAAAACUCUUCUAAAUUCUAAGACAAAUAAAAUUAGUUAAUUAAAUGCUUAACUACUCUUUAUUAUAUUUGUAUAUUACUCUUGGAACAAACUUAUUUGCAGGAGCAUUACAUAUCUACAUGUGAGGAGUAAACUUUCAGUACAGUGGGAUCUCUUAUAUAAGCAAAAUAGAUUAUUUUUAAAAGGAACUUACUCUUUGAAAAUGAGCACAUAAUUCUACAAUUGGGUGUAUUAUGUGUGGAUUAUGGAAAGAUAGUGGAGAUGGUGGCAGCAGUUUUGGGAUCUUCCUGACUCCCCUGUGAAAACAGAAAGAUUAACUAGAGAGCAAAACCAAUAACACUUGGACAGCACGCAUGAAAAACUAGGUGAUGAGGUGUCCCCCUCAAAACAAAAUAGAAAUAUGAAAGAAGGAAUCAUUGGCAUGUCCAAGAUCUUCUGUUAGCAGUAUCUUUAAGGAGAAAGCAGAGGAAAUCAAGAUGGUGUCAGGCAGACCUGUAGCAAGAGAACUCAGUUGAUAACAAGCAUGGUGGACCAGUGAACUGACUAGGUUUUACCCUCUUUAAUCUCAAUAAGUGCAAGAAGUCCAGUC
This 1042-nucleotide long non-coding RNA is filed under the name Capra hircus (goat). Its description in RNAcentral is "lncRNA (ENSCHIG00010010176.1)". The record is from RNAcentral. Lineage: Eukaryota; Metazoa; Chordata; Mammalia; Artiodactyla; Bovidae.